GACGAACGCUGGCGGCGUGCCUAAUACAUGCAAGUAGAACGCUGAAGAGAGGAGCUUGCUCUUCUUGGAAGAGUUGCGAACGGGUGAGUAACGCGUAGGUAACCUGCCUUGUAGCGGGGGAUAACUAUUGGAAACGAUAGCUAAUACCGCAUAACAAUGGGUGACCCAUGUCAUUCAUUUGAAAGGGGCAACUGCUCCACUACAAGAUGGACCUGCGUUGUAUUAGCUAGUAGGUGAGGUAACGGCUCACCUAGGCGACGAUACAUAGCCGACCUGAGAGGGUGAUCGGCCACACUGGGACUGAGACACGGCCCAGACUCCUACGGGAGGCAGCAGUAGGGAAUCUUCGGCAAUGGGGGCAACCCUGACCGAGCAACGCCGCGUGAGUGAAGAAGGUUUUCGGAUCGUAAAGCUCUGUUGUAAGUCAAGAACGAGUGUGAGAGUGGAAAGUUCACACUGUGACGGUAGCUUACCAGAAAGGGACGGCUAACUACGUGCCAGCAGCCGCGGUAAUACGUAGGUCCCGGGCGUUGUCCGGAUUUAUUGGGCGUAAAGCGAGCGCAGGCGGUUUGAUAAGUCUGAAGUUAAAGGCUGUGGCUCAACCAUAGUUUGCUUUGGAAACUGUCAAACUUGAGUGCAGAAGGGGAGAGUGGAAUUCCAUGUGUAGCGGUGAAAUGCGUAGAUAUAUGGAGGAACACCGGUGGCGAAAGCGGCUCUCUGGUCUGUAACUGACGCUGAGGCUCGAAAGCGUGGGGAGCGAACAGG
RNAcentral lists this ribosomal RNA (765 nucleotides) under uncultured Streptococcus sp. Its description in RNAcentral is "bacterial SSU rRNA". It matches the Rfam family "Bacterial small subunit ribosomal RNA", at positions 28 to 776 of the family's 1533-position model. Lineage: Bacteria; Bacillati; Bacillota; Bacilli; Lactobacillales; Streptococcaceae. The record is from RNAcentral.